GGGUUAGUCUCGUAGGUGACCUGCGGAGGGAUCAUU
Molecule: ribosomal RNA, 36 nt
Filed under: Schizothyrium wisconsinense
Lineage: Eukaryota; Fungi; Ascomycota; Dothideomycetes; Mycosphaerellales; Schizothyriaceae
Description: partial 18S ribosomal RNA
Source: RNAcentral